This 495-nucleotide ribosomal RNA is filed under the name Vibrio sp. RNAcentral's name for it is "bacterial SSU rRNA". It matches the Rfam family "Bacterial small subunit ribosomal RNA", at positions 389 to 876 of the family's 1533-position model. The record is from RNAcentral. Lineage: Bacteria; Pseudomonadati; Pseudomonadota; Gammaproteobacteria; Vibrionales; Vibrionaceae.
CAGCCAUGCCGCGUGUAUGAAGAAGGCCUUCGGGUUGUAAAGUACUUUCAGCAGUGAGGAAGGCGGGUACGUUAAUAGCGUGCUCGUUUGACGUUAGCUGCAGAAGAAGCACCGGCUAACUCCGUGCCAGCAGCCGCGGUAAUACGGAGGGUGCGAGCGUUAAUCGGAAUUACUGGGCGUAAAGCGCAUGCAGGUGGUUUGUUAAGUCAGAUGUGAAAGCCCGGGGCUCAACCUCGGAAUUGCAUUUGAAACUGGCAGACUAGAGUACUGUAGAGGGGGGUAGAAUUUCAGGUGUAGCGGUGAAAUGCGUAGAGAUCUGAAGGAAUACCGGUGGCGAAGGCGGCCCCCUGGACAGAUACUGACACUCAGAUGCGAAAGCGUGGGGAGCAAACAGGAUUAGAUACCCUGGUAGUCCACGCCGUAAACGAUGUCUACUUGGAGGUUGUGGCCUUGAGCCGUGGCUUUCGGAGCUAACGCGUUAAGUAGACCGCCUGG